Molecule: non-coding RNA, 2349 nt
Organism: Odocoileus virginianus texanus
Lineage: Eukaryota; Metazoa; Chordata; Mammalia; Artiodactyla; Cervidae
Source: RefSeq, a predicted model, not a curated record
CACUUCCCUAUUAACCGGCAAUCUCCAUCCUUCUCCUGAGAGCAAAGACUGUCGCCAUGUUCUGCUAGUGUCUGCUGCACAUUUUUGGGCCUUGCUCCAGGACCUUGCUUCAGAUGGCGCAUAACUCAACUGGCUUCCCUGAGGCACUGCAGUUCCAGCAGAAUUCUGCUCAUUGAUUACAGAUUCACCUGACUUAACUUGAUAAAUGAUUUUGCCCAAGCCUCCUGUCUGAGAGGCCUGUUCAGACCUUGUUGAUAUAAAAAUUUCACUGCCCUUUUAACCACUAAUGCCAACAUUAUUGGUGAUUCUUUGAUUUGCAUGCUGAAUGCAUGAUGCUCAUCUGCUGAUUUACAGGAGUGCUUCUUCAUUAUACAUGGACUGCACAUCCUCUGAUACUCUUAAGAGCUGAGCCUUUCCAAAUCACAUUUAAUAGUCUGGAUUUGGCAUUGAAAUUAGACUGGAAUACACUGAUGCCUAUCACUGCUGAUAACUGCAUCAUCCUAUUUUUUUCUCUCCUUAAGAAUAACAACAAAAACAAUCGAUUUACCUUGAAAAAGUGGAAGAUAUGGAUCUAUAUCCUAUUGGGCAACAGUCUGCUGGAGUGGGUGGUUGCCCCUUUUAGAUGAGCACCUGCCUGAUCCUGUGGACACUUGAGGCUGUGACUCCUUAUAUCUUUUUGCUUCACUAGAACUUAAAUGCAUUGUGGCCAGCACCACUAGGCACUAAUGAGUUAUUAUAAACUACUUUGAAAUGUGCUUUCUGUUCCAAGUAUGAUUCUUAUAACUAAAUAGUUUGUAUUUCAGGCAGUGUGUGAGAGGAAUGAAUCUAAUGGUUAAGAAUUUCAGGUUGCGUGAUCUGUAGAGGCGAUACUUUAAGGCUAACAAUCUGUUUAGAUGCCUCACCCAUGCAUUGACAAAUAUACUCUCCCUGAUUAGUUUAACUCCCUUGAUUCCCUAUCAAGUGCUCUAUUCAUGAUUCACUCUGGUGUCUCUCAAUGAAUGCAAGCCACAGAGUGUCUGCCCUUCUCACACAAUCCUUAUAAAGCUGGUAACUACCACAGCGCCUACACUGAGUCCCUGUUGACAAGAUUGACCAAAAUUUCAUCAGUUGGUGACAAAAAAAAAUGCAACAUAGAAAAUGGUUUUAAAUGUAGCUUUGGAGAACAGGCCACUUGGGAGGGUUCCAAUGAGCUAUAAUUCGUUUAAGAAAUUGAGAGCGGAGGAAGAUUUAAGGCAUUUGAGGAAAUGCUUUUGUGUGAGUUUUUGGAAUCUUGAUCAGGGAAUAUUGUUGGUGUGGUAAAAAUUGAAAGAGAUACAAUGACAAUAGAGACUUUGAGAGAAGUUCUUUCUGAAAUAUUUAAAAUCCCAGUUCCUAUUUGAAAUCUAACAAGUAGUGACUAUUAGCAAUAAGUGUGCUUCAUUUGUACCCCAAGAGUACAGUAUUGUGACUCAGUGCCCCCAACAUCAGUUCUUUCUCCAUAUAGGUGAAUAAUGACUUAAAUGUAGUCUGUGUUUAGGAAAGACUUAUGACAUGUGUUAUAAAACCAGAGUAGCUUUUCUUUGUACAGUAAAGAAAUCUCAUCAGCCUAUGUGUAACCAUUGUAUUCAUCAAGAGAAUGGGCAGUAAAGAAGAUAUAUGCAAUAGUGUAAUCUUUUCAUUCUCUUUUCUCGUUUGUAGCUCUCAUUGUCAUGCAGGAAGGUGCACUCAAAUCUCCAGUAUUCUGUUUUCUGAAUAGUGCUCAGUUUUCUUGACUGCUCCAUUUGGGCAUCAGAGCUUUCUUUCACUUUCGGACUUUCAAAUGCCACAUAACUUUCUCAUGAAGUGCAGAGGAUUUUAAGAUCCAGAAGCACUGGUAUAGAGAAGGGUAUUAACACUCACUCAUUAAACUUGACGUUUGACCUUGAAGAGUCUGUGUAUAUAUUAAAUCAAUAUGUACUUUUCUUCACUAGGCUGAGCUUCUAGAACCUAACACUGUGUAGGCUGGAUAAGAUGCUUGCUUUCCAUUGUAAUCUAGAGUGAUAAAAAUGAUCAACCUAACUUGAGUAAUUCACUUGAUUCAGGAGAGAAAUAGAAUACGAUGUAGAUUAUCCAAGUUAAAAACAUCAUUUCAUAGUAAUUGGCUGACAUUUAAAAGCUGGAAUUGUGUGAAAGCCCAUUGCAUUUAUUUAAUCACUAUGGACUCAGUUUUGAGCAAAUAACCAGAUCUACCUUUUCUGUGUCAAUCAGUACAACUCUGUAUCCCUUUCAUGUGCUCUUUUACAAUUUUAGGCCAGAUCCAGAUUUUUUUUUGGUAUUACCAUGACAAGUCUGUUUACCUGAGCUAAGGUAUAUUUUUAGAGACACUAUUUG